This is a long non-coding RNA of Cydia splendana, 624 nucleotides long. RefSeq lists it as uncharacterized. The record is from RefSeq and is a predicted model, not a curated record. The transcript has 3 exons. NCBI's taxonomy places the organism in Eukaryota, Metazoa, Arthropoda, Insecta, Lepidoptera, Tortricidae.
AUUACAACAAACGUCUAUUUUGACAGUAAUUUUAUUCAAUCCAUUUGGAACUUCAGUCAAAAUUUUUAGAGUUGAGAUUUUUCUAAGAAAAAUAAUAUAAACUUUUAAAAUAUUCUGCCUUAUAUUAGAAUCCAAUUCAAUUACAGAAAAGUGCAAAAUGUGCGACCGUAUGAACGUUAUCAAUCAACUCCAGUCAAUUAUGUCAAAUAUCAGAGGUGGAUGCGGCGGAUGCUGUGGGGCGUGUUGCCCUCCGGCGCCGUGCAAGCCGUGCUGCGGCGGCGGCUCUCUCGUCACAGUAUACAGUCAAGUAGCAAAUAUCCAGUGACACCUGGCGCUCCGGCUAAAGGCAGAUUUAAAGCGGGCCUAGGCUAGCAAGAACUUGCAUGCAAUUUACAUUACAUUGCCGACUACUAAGAUGCUGUGCUCGCAGUAGGUCAGCCUCCGCGGCCAAUCGCAGCCUUCGACAAGGCAGUCAUAGCUGUCGGGCAUCAACCUGCAUGAGCCAAAUUCUAUAGAUCAUUGAUAAGAUAAUGACGGUAUAUUUUAUUAAGCAAACUGUGAGUUCUGUGCAGUCCUGUUCUUUUGACUUGUAACGUCUUUCAAAUAAACCAUUAUUGUAUUUAA